This is a non-coding RNA of Oryctolagus cuniculus (rabbit), 4397 nucleotides long. NCBI's taxonomy places the organism in Eukaryota, Metazoa, Chordata, Mammalia, Lagomorpha, Leporidae. The record is from RefSeq and is a predicted model, not a curated record.
AGCGAGGGCGGCUGCUGCUGCCUCCUCCUCCUCCUCCUCCUCCUCCUCGAGGGCAGUGACUUCCACCGGGCCGAGGAACGGAGAAACGGCGGCGGGCUCCGCAGAAAACUCCAAAGAGACGGAUUCCCGGCGAGCCAGGAGAGAGAAAUGAGAAAGCUUUUCAGAGCCACCCCAAGAUGGCAAGCAGAACAGGAAACGACCUCUCAGAUGUCCACGGCCACUGUGUGCUGUUGAAACAAGUCUCAAGGGAAGUCCCUUUCCUGACUGGUAAGACCUCCGACUCCUUGGCGAGAGGGAGAGUCAGCCCUCACGUUACCCAACAGGCCGAGGAUUAUUGGAACCCCAUAGGUGUUUGAACUGGGGUAAGUCCCUGAUGGAGCCCUCUCCCCUCCGUGAGUCACUAGGUAAUGUGAGAAGAGGAAACUGCAGGGUGCCCGGCAGAACCCUACUAAUGGGAAAGCUGGGUGAGUCACUGAGCGGGUCCCCUUUCCCCAGACCUACAUCAUCACUCAGUAAAGGAAAUCCCCAAUACUGUUCUGACCCUCAUUAAAAAGUCAAGAGUUGGCAAGGCCUCUUCCACCUAGCCUCCGUCUUCUCUGCCCUUUCUGUGACUUUUUCCCCCACUGCUGCUUUGUUGUUGACGGUCAUCAGCUUUUCCCUGACUUGAUGACAGCAAAAUGAAGAGGGGUCCCCCAUCAAAUUCCCUGGGCUUAGGCCUCGCCUGACCAGGCCCUGCGUUGAGCACUGAUGGCAUCUAAAUAGAUAUUUGAAAAUUAAAUGGUCCCCUCACCAUCCCGUUCCUUUCAGAAUUACAUCCUUUGAAAAAAGUGCUUAUAUUGGUUUCAUGGCCAUGCUUUGCAAACAGCAUGGAGACCUAAAUUUUCAUUUUGCCCUUCAGAUUUCAGUGACUAAAAACACAAAUUUGUUAGUAAACAGUGUUUGAUGUGCUCUGAGCACAAAAUACCAUGUAACCUGCAUGGUUGUAAAAACUUAUCUGAUCAUUGUGUCGUUAAUAAAUCAUAUGCUACCUCUAGUUCCCUGUUUCCAUCUGGGGUCACAUGUCUCAGUUCUGUUCCAUUGCAUUUGAUAUGAAGAAGUCUAGUAAUACAUCUUAAAAAUCACCCCCUCAUCCUCAUACCCUUCUCAUAAAACUUUCUCUGUGUAGAAUAAAAAGUAAAACUUUAUAGAUCUAAAAAUUUGGAAAUUUCCUUUCCUUGAAAAUUACAAUAGGAUCACAAAACAAAACAUACAGAUGUAGUAGUUUGUAGAAUUCCCUUAUAUUAUAAUCAUAUAUCACAUUUCCUAGUCACUUGAUUAAAAUUUCACAAGAACCCAGAUUCAACUACACAAUUGUGUAUAUUAUGCAAUAGAGUGGCAGUUUUUACAUUGGUGGUGUGUUCUUUAACCCCUCCUGGACCUGUUUAGGCACUUUGUGAAUUGUGUAGCUGGAUCUGUUCUAAAUGAAAGAGGUUCAAAUAUCAACCACUGAAAAGGAAUUAAGUAAACUCAUACAAAACACAGGAACAUGUUGUCACAAAACCUACAGAAUCUUUGGCAUUAUAAUACUAUUAAGGCAGUUAAAAUAAUUUUAGUCACACAUAUAUUGUGAGGAACCUGCUAAACAAACACAAAAUCUGAAAGGAAAAUUUCUAAAGCACUUCAAGUAAUAAGACCGAAAAAAAAAAGUUUAGACUACAAAUUAUUUUUGCCCUACCUUGGGAUCAUUCAUUAUAAUGGAGAAUUGAUAGUGGUGAGAAACAGCAAUGACCUCAUUUGUGCUGAAAUUAUAAUCAAAUUGUGUUUCAUUAUGUGUCAAUUUUGACCCUAUGAAUAUGUUCUAGCAAAUAUUGUUGAAGGCAAAAUUAGUUUCUGUACUGUUUGCCAUCAGGUUUAGAACACUGUUUUUCCUUACAUCUUCCAAGGUACCUAAAUCUUAUAACCAGGCAUCUAAUACACUUGGCUGAAAUACUUCUGUAUUUUAUGAGUUGAUCAGAGUCAGGGUUUUCAUCCGAAAUCUGAGAGACCUCUUUCAAGGUCUAGCAUAUUUGCCAAGUCCUGAGCUACAGUGCAGUCAGCUUAAAUCUGGAGGACUCAGUGGGCAGUGAGAAAGAAGGUAAAUGUCAAUGAAAUUCAAAGGAUGGAUUAGGGAGGAGAAAUUUUAAUGAGAAAAUAGAAACCCCUGAGCCCAUUAAACCAAGAAAAGAAGAAAAAUGAAAGAUAUUGUCUCUCAAUCACUCCAAUAAUAGGCAAGUUAGGGGCAGGCGCUGUGGUGCAGCAGGUUAAAGCCUCAGUCUGCAGUGCUGGCAUCCCAUAUGGGCGCUGGUUCAAGUCCCGGCUGCUCCACUUCCGAUCCAGCUCUCUGCUAUGGCCUGGAAAAGCAGUAGAAGAUGGCCCAAGUCCUUGGGGCCCUGCACCCACAUGGGAGACCCGGAAGAAGCUCCUGGCUCCUGGCUCCAGAGCAGCACAGCUCCAGCCAUUGCAGCCAUUUAGGGAGUGAAGCAGCAGAUGGAAGACCUCUCUCUCUCUCUCUCUGUCUCUACCUCUCUGUAACUCUGCCUUUCAAGUAAAUAAAUAAAUCUUUAAAAAAAAAAAAUAGGGAAGUUAGACAUAUGCAAACUGUGAGCAAGUCCUUAUUAUACUGGCCCUGAUUCCCCAAAUUAUAUUUGCCAAGAUGCUCUUUCUGCUUUAAUCAUACUGUUUGUUUAGUCUAUUUUGUUAUCCCACUGCAGCUGUGAGAGUAGUUUGAACAAAAGUAUCACGUUGUCUCAAUUUAGGGAGCUUUAACCCGAGGACCAUGGAUUUGCUUCAAGGUAUCUGUGCUCUCCCUUGCAAAUUUUUGCAAGCUUGUACCUUUAUGCAUCUCUUUCCUCGAGAUAAAGGUUAAAAUUUUAGCCUUUGUAAGCUUUCUGAAAGGUCCAUAACCAGAAAAGAUGAAAAACAUUCCUCCCUGUGAAGCAAAUCUAUUCUUCUCCCAGUCCAUGAACAGAUGCCAGCAAUUACACCAAGGGUAGGGGAUACAAAGAUGGUACAAAGAUGAAUCUACUAAGUAAACUCCACCUGACAGGGGAUUUGCCCUGUAAACAAACACCUGCUUCGUGAUGGGUCUUCUGUGAGAGAUCUAUACAGGCAUCUAGAAAUAAAUUCUCUUUUUGCUUUCUUAGCUGAUAACAGAGGAAGAGGAAGGAAUGCCAUGCUAUGCACCACACUCUUUCUUCUCCCACUACCCCUUACAGUUGAUACCUCUUCACUCCAAUCACAAUUCCCUAUGGGGAUUAAAAGAAGUUAGACAGUUGCUGCCAGAGUCCUGACAUAUGAAUGUUGACCGUGUGAUUCAUCAUGGCCAUGAUGUGUUGAUGCAAACAUUCCAAGAAAUACCUGGGCUUCAUUGGACUUUGUCAGUGGAUAGUCAAAGAAACUGAGUAUCUUUGUUUCAGCUUUGCUGAGGAUUAUGGCUGAAUACUUAGGUUAAGAAUGCAUUGAUAAAAUAGUUGAAUUGGUCAUCCAUAACUAAGCCCCAGAACUGAAGGGCUAAGUUGAAGUUAUUGUACAAACUAGACUGGCUUUAGAAAUAACAUUUCCACCUGGGAAGCAUUUGUUUCAGCCAAAUAAGAAAAUGUGGACUGGCCCAAACGUGGGAAAAGGCAUACAAUGGACCUGCCUACGGGUGUUAGAAUCUAAUUAUAAAAUAGAGUUGAGAGUAUUCGUUUAUUUAUUCAUUUCAAUUUUCCACCUGUAAAAGUCCUACUUUGCUUCAAAAUCCAGCUCAGGUAGCACUUCCGUGUGAAUUCAUCCUGUACCCUUCCAAGCAAUGUUAAUUAUUCUCUCCCCUGGAUUCCCAUAGCAUUUUGUUCAAAUUGCUGGCAUAGUGAUCAUCACAAUAAAUUAUAGUUCGUGAGUCUCUCUGUGAUAAAUUGUGAACACUUGAUUGUACAGUGUCUGGAAAGGUAAAAAUUAAUAAAAUGCAACUCUUACCUUAAAUAGCAUAUAAUUGAUUGUGAGCACAUAGCUCUAAAUCUCAGAAUGAAACCAUCAUUGACAUUUUAAUAAGAAUUUGAUACUGGACACAGAGAUUAAUAGAAUGGAAGAAGAAACUGGAAAGGUAAGAACAGAGCAGAGGCAAAAGGCCUUGAACAGUAUACCAAGGAUAUUGUUCUUCAUCCAGUAAGCACUGGGAAGCACUGAAGGUUUUUGAAGAGGGGGCAUGACCACCUGAACAGAGCUAUAUUUUAAGAAAGUAGCAGAGGCACCAGUGUAGGGAGUAAACUGGCAACUGAGAGGCUGGUAAGAGAGACCAGCCAAGAACCAGAAAGGCCCUAAAUAGCGGGGCAGAAAAAAAAAAAAUAGAAGGAAUUGCAUAUGCUAGACAUUGUGGAAGUAGAAUCAAAAGAAUCCAGAAA